RNAcentral lists this ribosomal RNA (274 nucleotides) under uncultured bacterium. RNAcentral's name for it is "partial 16S ribosomal RNA". It matches the Rfam family "Bacterial small subunit ribosomal RNA", at positions 523 to 796 of the family's 1533-position model. The record is from RNAcentral.
CUACGAAGGGUGCUAGCGUUGUUCGGAAUUACUGGGCGUAAAGAGCAUGUAGGCGGAUAGAUUAGUCAGAGGUGAAAGCCCCGAGCUCAACUCGGGAACUGCCUUUGAUACUGUUUAUCUAGAGACCGAGAGAGGUGAGUGGAAUUCUCAGUGUAGAGGUGAAAUUCGUAGAUAUUGGGAAGAACACCAGUGGCGAAGGCGGCUCACUGGCUCGGAACUGACGCUGAGAUGCGAAAGCGUGGGGAGCGAACAGGAUUAGAAACCCUUGUAGUCC